CGGACGGGUGAGUAACGCGUGAGGAACCUGCCUUGGAGUGGGGAAUAACAGUUAGAAAUAGCUGCUAAUACCGCAUAAUGCAACUAAGUCGCAUGGCUUUGGUUGCCAAAGAUUUAUCGCUCUAAGAUGGCCUCGCGUCUGAUUAGAUAGUUGGCGGGGUAACGGCCCACCAAGUCGACGAUCAGUAGCCGGCCUGAGAGGGUGAACGGCCACAUUGGGACUGAGACACGGCCCAAACUCCUACGGAAGGCAGCAG
This 256-nucleotide ribosomal RNA is filed under the name uncultured bacterium. Its description in RNAcentral is "partial 16S ribosomal RNA". It matches the Rfam family "Bacterial small subunit ribosomal RNA", at positions 99 to 354 of the family's 1533-position model. The record is from RNAcentral.